GCAGGGGUCCAAUGGGGUGGAUCCACCCCUCUUAGUCUUGUCCUGUGGUGGUGCUGAGCCAUGUCUCCCCCAUCUUGUUUGGGCAUCAGAGGCAGUCUAUGGACUUGUCAAGGACUCAGGAGCAAAGAGAACUCUGCCCAAGGCGAUGGUCAUGCCCUUGCUCCAACACUUUGCUGAGGGCCUGGUCUGUUCACCACAGCCUGGCAUCCUGCUCAAUAUGCUUGGGCCAGUUUGUGAUUUUUCAGGAGGACUGGAAAAGUGCUAACGCUUUAGGAGGUGGCAGUGACAGAAAGCUGGAAGACUUCUCUGAAGAACAGGAUGAGAGGGGAAUGUGGGGGCUGUGUGCCAGGUGUCUGCCGUCACUGCCAGCCCCUUGGUCUGGAGACACAGGACCAAUACUUGGAGAUGAACAUCAAAGGAUCAUCUGAGUCCUAAUCCAGCCUGCAACCUGACUUCAACUUCCUCAGUGACAGGAGCAAAAGAGAGAGACGCCCAGGACUUGUAGGAGCUGCAGGAGGACCCUCUCCCUUCUGCAUGAGGAGAGGCAUGAGGGUGUGAAAUCUGACCAGCUAGAGUGAUUUUGUAACCACCAGAUAAGAAACUGCAGCUGCUGAGGGGCCACUCUGAGCAGUCCAGGAAUGAAGUCAACACCACAAAAGGCAGACG
Molecule: long non-coding RNA, 666 nt
Organism: Gorilla gorilla gorilla (western lowland gorilla)
Lineage: Eukaryota; Metazoa; Chordata; Mammalia; Primates; Hominidae
Exons: 5
Source: RefSeq, a predicted model, not a curated record